This 253-nucleotide ribosomal RNA is filed under the name uncultured bacterium. RNAcentral describes it as "partial 16S ribosomal RNA". It matches the Rfam family "Bacterial small subunit ribosomal RNA", at positions 524 to 776 of the family's 1533-position model. The record is from RNAcentral.
UACGCAGGGGGCUAGCGUUGCUCGGAAUCACUGGGCGUAAAGCGCACGUAGGCGGAUGUGUCAGUCAGGGGUGAAAUCCCGGAGCUCAACUUCGGAACUGCCCUUGAUACAGCACGUCUCGAGUCCGAGAGAGGUGAGUGGAAUUCCUAGUGUAGAGGUGAAAUUCGUAGAUAUUAGGAAGAACACCAGUGGCGAAGGCGGCUCACUGGCUCGGUACUGACGCUGAGGUGCGAAAGCGUGGGGAGCAAACAGG